UGGAGAGUUUGAUCCUGGCUCAGAGUGAACGCUGGCGGUAGGCCUAACACAUGCAAGUCGAACGGCAGCACAGUAAGAGCUUGCUCUUAUGGGUGGCGAGUGGCGGACGGGUGAGGAAUACAUCGGAAUCUACCUUUUCGUGGGGGAUAACGUAGGGAAACUUACGCUAAUACCGCAUACGACCUUCGGGUGAAAGCAGGGGACCUUCGGGCCUUGCGCGGAUAGAUGAGCCGAUGUCGGAUUAGCUAGUUGGCGGGGUAAAGGCCCACCAAGGCGACGAUCCGUAGCUGGUCUGAGAGGAUGAUCAGCCACACUGGAACUGAGACACGGUCCAGACUCCUACGGGAGGCAGCAGUGGGGAAUAUUGGACAAUGGGCGCAAGCCUGAUCCAGCCAUACCGCGUGGGUGAAGAAGGCCUUCGGGUUGUAAAGCCCUUUUGUUGGGAAAGAAAAGCAGUCGAUUAAUACUCGGUGUUCUGACGGUACCCAAAGAAUAAGCACCGGCUAACUUCGUGCCAGCAGCCGCGGU
This 528-nucleotide ribosomal RNA is filed under the name Stenotrophomonas sp. IRH43. RNAcentral's name for it is "bacterial SSU rRNA". It matches the Rfam family "Bacterial small subunit ribosomal RNA", at positions 1 to 521 of the family's 1533-position model. Lineage: Bacteria; Pseudomonadati; Pseudomonadota; Gammaproteobacteria; Lysobacterales; Lysobacteraceae. The record is from RNAcentral.